RNAcentral lists this ribosomal RNA (514 nucleotides) under uncultured bacterium. Its description in RNAcentral is "partial 16S ribosomal RNA". It matches the Rfam family "Bacterial small subunit ribosomal RNA", at positions 30 to 523 of the family's 1533-position model. The record is from RNAcentral.
AUUGAACGCUGGCGGCAGGCUUAACACAUGCAAGUCGAGCGAACUGAUUAGAAGCUUGCUUCUAUGACGUUAGCGGCGGACGGGUGAGUAACACGUGGGCAACCUGCCUGUAAGACUGGGAUAACUUCGGGAAACCGAAGCUAAUACCGGAUAGAAUCUUCUCCUUCAUGGGAGAUGAUUGAAAGAUGGUUUCGGCUAUCACUUACAGAUGGGCCCGCGGUGCAUUAGCUAGUUGGUGAGGUAACGGCUCACCAAGGCAACGAUGCAUAGCCGACCUGAGAGAGUGAUCGGCCACACUGGGACUGAGACACGGCCCAGACUCCUACGGGAGGCAGCAGUAGGGAAUCUUCCGCAAUGGACGAAAGUCUGACGGAGCAACGCCGCGUGAGUGAUGAAGGCUUUCGGGUCGUAAAACUCUGUUGUUAGGGAAGAACAAGUACGAGAGUAACUGCUCGUACCUUGACGGUACCUAACCAGAAAGCCACGGCUAACUACGUGCCAGCCGCCGCGGUAA